Molecule: long non-coding RNA, 9006 nt
Filed under: Capsicum annuum
Lineage: Eukaryota; Viridiplantae; Streptophyta; Magnoliopsida; Solanales; Solanaceae
Description: long non-coding RNA (CANN_LNC013991)
Source: RNAcentral
GACAAUUCAUAACAUAUCAUGCUGAAGGAGGUGACAUUCCAUAACAUAAUGAUAUGUCACACUAAGGGAGGUGGCGGUUUAUAAUAUAAUAACAGAAUCGCACUGAGCGAGGCGACAAUCCAUAACAUAAUUAUAUGUCACUCUGAGGGAGGUGACAGACCAUAGCAAAAUAACAUAUCUUGCUGAAAGAGGUGAUGAUCUAUAACAUAAUGAUAUGUCAUUCUGAGGGAGGUGACUGCCCAUAACAUAAUAACAUAUCACGCUGAAUGAGGUGACAAUCCAUAACAUAAUGAUAGAUCACUAUGAGGGAGGUAACAGUCUAUAACAUAAUAACAUAUAACAUUGAAGGUGGUGACAAUCCAUAACAUAAUGAUAUGUCAUUCCGAGGGAGGUGACGAUCCAUAGCAAAAUAACAUAUCACGUUGAAGAAAGUGACAACCCAUAACAUAAUGAUAUGUCACUCUGAGAGAGGUGGCGGUCCAUAACAAAAUAACAUAUCAUGCCGAAGGAGGUGAUAGUCCACAAUAUAAUAACUUGUCACUCUGAAGGAGGUGAUGAUCCAUAAUAUAAUAGCGCAUUACUGUGAAGGAGGUGAUGAUCCAUAGCAUAAUAAUGUCACUCUAAAAAAUAUGAUAUCCAUAUAGUGUAUCACUCUGAAGGAGGUGAUGAUCUAUAUAGUGUAUCAUUUUGAAGGAGGUGAUGAUCCAUAACAUAAUAACAUGGCAUCUCAAAUAAAGUAAUGGUCCAACACAUCCUCUUAAAAAGGUAGAAAAUCCACAUAUAAUAAGAUGUGUUCUUCUAAAAGAGGGAUGGCCCAAAUAUAAUAGGAUGUGUCACCUCGAAUGAAGUGGCAAUUUGGUAUGUCCUUUUGAAAGAGUGGAUGACCUAAAUAUAAUAAGAUGUGUCACCUCGAAUGAAAUGAUGAUUCCGUAUGUCCUCUUGAAAAGGUGGAUGACCCAAAUAUAAUAAAAUGUGUCACCUCAAAUGGGGUGAUAAUCCGGUAGGUUUUCUUGGAGGAUAGAAAACCCUAAUAUAUAAACAAAGAUAGAAGUUGACUUAUUGAACUUCAGCCCUUGAAUCGGUAAUCCUUAAAAGGACUUGUACAUGUCCUGAUCUUUUGGAUUGAAUCCUCAAAGUUUGAGAGGAUUAUUUUGUGUUAUUUCAUAGAGGCAGUCUUGCAUAUGUCACCUGCAUAACUCAAACAACACUUAUUAAUAAUCAAAAGAAAUUGUUGUAACUAAGCCAGGAGUGUAACAGAAGAUAAACUUUAAAGAUAAAUUUGUUUGAUUCAUUAUUAUUUAGAGAUAGUGAUUUGCAUAAUAUCUCUAUAUCUUAGUUGCUAUGUCUGAUUAAUUCCCUGUAAAAUCAAAGAAAAUGUUAGAGAUCAUAGCGAAGCAACAGAAACAUAAAUCAAGAGGAAAAGGGAGAAGAAAAGUUGUCUAGAUUAUUAUGGCGAGGCCACGGUGGAUCUGGUAAUCCCUUUUGUCAUGCUCAACAUUGUCAGCUUUGUGACUUCCUGCAUCUAAAUAAAAAUUCUUUGUUUUUAGAGACUGACAUUGUUGGUUUUGCCUUGAUAUCCUCAUGCUCCUUGGUGAUCAUUGAUUUGCAAGCUUUUUGAUCUUGAAAUGCAUUUCUUGUGAAAUUUUUUAGGAUCUUCAUCAAAAAUUCUGCCCCAGUCUAUAACAUAGAAACUCUUGAACUUUCUUAUAACUUAUGACAUUGUUUAGUAUAGAAUUUUUGAUAUCUUAUCAAAAAUUUUUCCUCAGUCUAAAAUGCAAAGUGCUUGAGUUAUUUCUAAUGUAGCGUAACUUGAAAUUUAAGAACUUCUCAAAAAUAAUGUUCUAAUUUCAUCUUCAACGUCUGCUGUUCAACUUUUUAGCAAAUGUCAAGUUUUGUGAAACUUUUGAGACCUUCUAAAAAAUUUCUUCCCAAGUAACAUGCUUCAAUGUCAUCUCCAUGUAUCUUGGAAAAGAUCCUCUCAAAAAUUCUGCCCUUGUUUUUAUGGAAAUCUUACGGGGAAUAUUACCGAAUUGAUGUGAUGCCCACGUAUUCCGUUGAGGUUGGAAUAAGGUCAAACAUAUCUCUAAUAUAUAAUGAAAAAAAAAAUUACUAAGAGGUUGACUGAAGCCGAUAUAGGCCACCCACCAACAUAUCCCAUUCUUGAAAAUUCAGGUCAAAUGUAAUUCGUAUUUUUUCGACUGAUGAUGUCAAUGAUUAUUUUACUUUAAGUCUUUGUAAAGUGGGAAAGUUUGAUUACCAACACAAAUCAAUCUCUCUCUAAAAAGAAAGAAAAAUACUUCAAAAGGUAAAAAAGUUAGUUCAUGAAUCGUAAUAAUUUACCAAAGUAAUAUAUGAAACCAAUGACAUAUAUUUGACUCGAAAUAGACUAGUCUAGAAUUCGAAGAAUAGCGCACCUUGAGAAAAUGACUGAAUGAUCAGAGUUUUGACAAUUUAACGGAUUUUGGAUUUAUGGGUAAAAUGGCAUUUCGAAUAGAAUGAACUAAGUGAUUUGAAGAAAUUUAGUGUUUACGAAUAAACAUCCUAGAGGCUUAUUGGGAAAGCUCUUUUGAAGCAACAUAGUCUUUCCAUAAAUAGAAUAUCCGAAUAAUUCUAGCCAUAAUUAAGUGCAAAAAAAAUAAUUUGUAAGAGCAAUGUGGUCAAUGUAAAUUGGACAGUGACCUAAUGAAUUUUUGAGAAACUUCGAUGAAUUGAAAGGACUUUAUCGAUGGACUUUUAUAGAUGUUUUAGGAGGAUUAUAAUUUUUAGUCUUAUAGGCCUAUCAAUGCUCUAAGACAUCGAGAUAGAAUAAUGGACUAGCCUUGUUUAAAGCCAAACAUAUGUUAUUUAAACAAACAAAUCAAGCAAAUAUAGACAAAGAAAAAUAAUGACACACUUUUGCAGAUAAACAAAUUUUAACGUGUCCUAGUAUACAUAACACCUUUCAAGCCAAAGGUAAGCCUAAUGUUUGCAGGAUAUGCAUGUCGUUGGUAAGACGUUCCAUUGCUCCAAAAAUGUUAUAAAAAUUUCUGAGAUAGGACAAAUGGGGAUACAAAUAAGGAAAAGGGGAAAUAAAUGAUAUUAGUCCCACGUAGAGGAGCAAACCUAAACUAAACCUCUCUGGAAGUCAUUCGAUCUUGAACUUCUUGAAAUGUCUGAAUGACUUUUUGAUGAAGAUAUUCGCUAUAUUUCAAUAAAAGAAACUACAUAAAUAAAGUCCUCAAACCCAAGGAACAAUGAUUCGUACAAUUCGAGAAUAUAUCCUUCAAUUUAAACACAUAAGGGAUGAUUGACUGUUAUUGACUUUUGGUCAAUAGACGUAGGGUAGGUUUCUCUAAUGAACCCAAUACCCCCUCAAGUAUUGGAUCGUCCUAGGCUUAUGCCUAAAAAGAGUUUGGAUUUCUCUCUAUACUAGAUAUCUAAAGUGGGCUUUGACCAUGUUCUCAAGUGGACAACUCGGAUUUGAAAAUACAAACAGUCAUCAAAUGCCUAACGUGCCAGUAAACUGUUGUAUUUCCAACACUUGUAUUUGGAAUUGAUCAAUAGAGGCCACGACAAUUGUGAAAUCUCAAAUAGUUUGAUAAUUAAAUGUGGAAGUAUGCCAUGAAUGAAACAGUGAAUAAUUGUAAAAAUCGAAACACAUAAUUGCAAAAGUAACAAUUAAUACAAAUAUUAGCCAAACACAUAAAAUUCUUAUGGUUAGGACCUAGAUGAAUCUCCAACAGAGUCGUCAUUCUGUUACGAUCCGUUUUCAAAACUAGUUAAAAAUGUUUCUUAACUUCAUGGCAAAAAAAGGAAUUUGUAUGAUUUUAUUUUGAAAAAAUAAUUUAGAGUUGCCACUUAAUUUUAGAAAAAUUAAUAAACCAUUUAAAAUGGUUUUUGAAAGAAAACCUUUUAAAAAUAACCAUAGUCUAGGUAAGGGCUCAAGUAAAUUCGAAAGAAGCUGUUAGGCACUUUUGAAAAUCCACAAAGUGUGGUUCCCAGCGGAUUAAACCUAUUUGGCUAAACAUGAAAAAAAAAAUUCUUAAGUUGUAAAAAAAUCUUCAAUUUAUUUUAGGAAAACCAUAAAUUUACUUGGAAAUCUAAUUUUAAUAAUAGAAUUUAUUUGAUACUAAUCCAUUUAAUUUAGGGAUAACUGCAUGGCUUAGCAAAUAUAGACUUCUAAUUACCAUAUUUAAUGUAAGUUUCAAUUAAUUACAAUCAAUAGUCCCCCUUGCCUAUUAAUUAUCCUUAAUUACAAUUUAUAGCCUCUCUCAUGUAUUUUCUCUCUUUCUCUAUUUUCUAUUACUCUUCUUUUUUCCUUUUUCAAUUUUUUUCUUCAUUUUUUCUUUUUUCUUUUGUUUUCUCUUUUUCUUUUUUCAUUUUUCUUUUUUUCCUUUUCCUUUUUUUUCCUUUUCAUUUUUUCUCCUUUUUUUCCCUUUUUGUAUUUUUUCUCAAUUUUCUAUUACUCUCCUUUUUUUUUUUUUGCAUUUUUUCUUCUUUUUUUCUCCUUUUUUUUCUCCUUUUUGUUUUUUCUAUUUUUUUCAUUUAUGUGAACUAGCAAACACAAAUACAAGUGCGAACUAUAAAAUACAAACACAAAUGUGAACUAUAACAUAUAAAUACAAGUGCAAACUAUAAAAUACAAAGACAUGUGAACUAUAACAUACAAAUACAAGUGAAUACUAUAAAAUACAAAUACAAAUGUGAACUAUAACAUACAAAUACAUGUGUGAACUAUAACAUACAAAUGCGAACUACCAUUUGUAUUUUUCAAUUAUUGAAAGAGAACGAUUGAUUUUCUUUCUAUGAAUAUUUAUUUGUAUUUAUUGAUACUAGUUGUAUUUAUUGAUACAAAUAAAUUCAAUUCAAAUAUUUAUACAAAUACAAUAUAUACAAAUACAUAUUGUAUUUGUAUUUGUAAAAUCAUCUGUUUCAUUUGUUUGUAAUUGUAUUUGUAUCAAGUGAUAUUUGCUUAUAUACAAAUACGAAUGAUAAUUUUGACAUACAAAUACAAAACGGUACAUUUGUAUCAAAUGAUACAUUACAUAUUUAUAUAUUUUAGAAUCAAGAAAUGCAAUUAAUGCAUUUACUUGUUUGUAUACAGAGAUUGUUGGUGUUAUUAUGCAUUUUAAUAUUAAAGUCUUAAGUUGCAUGAUAAUUUAUGGACAUAAAGUGGAGAAAGUGGUAUCACUAUAUUAUGAUAACUCUUGUAACUUCGAACACAUUAUUUGUCAAUAAUCUACCACAUUAUGUCUUGAAACUCAUAUGACCAUUAGUUGUUGUAAAUCCAUGGUCAUUAUUUUCACGUAACAUAUGUAACAACAAGACUAUUUAUCUACCCACAUUACUCUAAUUGUUAAUGGUGGUAGAAUAUGACCUUUAGUAAUUUGUAACUUCUCUCAUUAUUUUGUUGUAACUCUCAUGGAUAUUAGUGCCAUUAGUUUCUUGUAACUCUUGUAACCUAAAGACGGUUGAUCUUUCCACUUUAUUCUUCCCAUUCAAUAGAAGGAUGAAUACCUCACUUAUAAAUAGAGGUAGUCUUGCAUGUACAAGAUAAUAUGAUAAUGUACAAGAUAAUAUGAUAAGUGUGAAAAGGAUUAUUGUGUGUAGUAGUGAAAGACAGUAUUGAGACAAAGAAAAUAUUCUAAGUCUACAACUAUAUUCAGUAUACAAAAGUGAGUAAUUAUAUUAGCGAAAGAAUGAGUUGAGACAAAGAAAAUAUUCUAAGUCUUUAACUAUAUACACUUAAAAAAAAGAAAGUAAAUAUAUGUUGAAGGUGUUCUUAUGAUGGAGCUUUGGACUCUUCAACUAAUCCAGAGUUGCUUGAGUUAUACAUUGUUUAUAGGCUGUUUAUCCUAGAGGGGACAAGUCACGAAAUACACUGCUGGAUUGGUGUAGAUUAUGCCGCAGUAGGCUUGAAUCUCCUUAAAGAGAGCGAGAUAUCUAUGUCUCAGCCAAGAAGAAGAUUAUUUCAUUUCCUUCGCUCUUUUGUUCAUUUUAUUUUCAACUGUAAUCAUUUAUUGUAAUUGUGGUAUACUACACCAACAAAUGCAAAUGAUAAAUUAUAUAUAGCCACAACUAAAUACAACAUGCAAUCAACUUACAACUAUAAAAUAAUUUUAAAAAAAUAAAAAGGCAUCGACGAAAAUAGAAUACAAAUACAAAUAUAAUUCAAAUAUAAUCUAAAUAUACAAACACAAUAAAACCACAAUACAAAUAUAAUCCAAGUAUACAGUCAAUUAUAAAAUACAAAUAUAAAAUAGUUCUUUAAAAUACAAGUGCGAAUUCUAUAAUAUAUAAAUGAUGCUGCGAACUAACAAAUAUAAAUACAAGAGCGAACUAUAAAAUACAAAUACAAAUGCAAACUACAAAAUACAAAUACAAGUGUGAACUUCAAAAUACAAAUACAGAUACAGGUGUAUCAAUGAAUACAAAAAUACAAAUGACGAUGUGACUACAAAUACAAUAAUAAUUGUGAUAUUUACAUUAUCAUCCAUGACUUGUGCUCGAGUAGUCAUAUUUUUUGAAAAUAAAAAAAAUAUAAAAUAGAACCAAAAAAAUGAUAAAGAAAAUAAGUACAAAAAGAAAAUAAAAAAAUCAAAGAAGAAAAGAAAAGAAGAAAGAGAAAUAGAAGUUAGAGAUAGAAACGAGAAAAAAAAGAAGAAAAAAGCAAAAAGAAAGAAACGAAAAAAAUAAAAAAAGAAGAAAAAAAAUGAGGAAAACACGAAAAAGGAAAAAAUAUAAAAAAUAAAAAAGAAAAAAAAUAGUGUUUUUGGCGAGACUAAAUAUAUAUUGUAUUUAUAUUUUUUUAUGAAUACAGACCACUGAAUAAAAGAGAAUACAACGGUUGUUAAUCGAAUACAUCGACUAUAAAUGGUAAAUAUGUAAAGUGUGGUUAUGGAAGGUGGAUUUUAUGCCAAACUUUUGCUAUUUUUGAAACUUCACCUUUAAUUUAUUCUAACUGCUAAAAUAAACUAAACACUAGAGUUUCAAAAUUCUAACUUUAACAAUUUUAUCUGAAUAUAAACUUUGGGCUAAAUAGUAAACUCAAUAUCUUAAACAUGGGUUUAAGCUAUUUAAUAGCUAUAAAAGGAUAUGACAAAAUCCUCAGGUUAUUCUAUAAGCUUAUGUCUGCCUAAAUAGAAAAAUAAAAAUAAAUAAAUAAAUAAAUAAAUAAAUAAAAUGAAUAAUUUUGACAUAAAUUUGCUCCCCGAGGAUUCAUCUAGAUUAAUUAAUUAAAUUAGAUGCAAAUAAUCAAAUCAAAUACAAGAAAAUAAAGGAAGAAAAGUAGAGAUUUGGGCCUCUUUCUAACCUAUUUCAAAUCUGUCCAAUUCUUGGUCUUGCAAAGUUAUGAACUUUAAGUCCAUUUUUAGCCGUUGUAUAUCAAAACCCUUCAUCCUUGUGUUUUUAUGCAUACCGCUGCGAAUGCAUUUUAUAUCAAUGUAUAUUUUGUCUUCGAACUAUAUAUUUGCUUCCAUUCCUUAAUUCCUGUCAUAUAUCCUUUGUAUACUACUACUGUAUAUCCAUGUAUACAGCCUUGUUUUCUUCAAAAAAAUAAGUCCAUUCGGACUACUUUGGAGACUGGACUCAAAAUGAUACGGGCCUUCUUUUCCCAUUGCGGAAACGUAGAAGACAUAGAGUCCAUUUGGACUUGGAUAAAGUUUCACAUGCAUAGAAAAAAAUUAAUAGAUGCUAAAGGUAAGAUUCAAAUAAGUUUCAACACUUGGGAGCCUGUUGGGAUCAAGAAAAAUAGGAAACAUAUCAAAUUAGCUUAUUCAUUUAUUCAAGGUAAGACAACACGAGUAGUUUAUGGGCGUUACAAAUAAUUUUUCAGACUAUGUUCAAUCUGGUAAAACUUUGACACAAAGGGAGAAAAAAAAUAAUAGGAAGAAAAAAAUUGACUUAAUCAACUAAUCAACAACACUAGAAUAGCAAAGGCGUUAAACACCAAAAGGACAUGAACAUGCUAUUGAUUUAAGCAACAGUCAAACAAGGCAACUCCAUGAAUUUACAAAUUACACGGUAGUGGUGCCUUCAAUCAUAAAUGAGACAUUCAAGCAAAUUAAACACGAAAAACAGAAUACUUCACAGGUCUAAAGCAAUAUUUUGAUGAAAGGUAUAAGGCUAAUACCUUAUUUUUAACUUCAGACGCAAGAUGAGUUAAUUGACACUUGAUUGGAAACACAGGAAAAAGAAGACAUAACCAAAACUAGAUAGGCAUCACAUACGUCUAUAGUCAUCUUUACCCGAAUUCCAGACAGAACAAACAUAUUAAAAUCAAAACGGACAAGAAUUGAUAUCUAGGCAGGGAACUUUGAACAUACUAAUACCGAAUUUGCAUUAACAUUGACUUUUAAUACAUAUGACAUAUUAAUGGAAGAGAAAUGAUAUUCACCUUUUGUCGAGCAGCCAACUGGGACGACGAGUGGACGAUGACUACCGACUUCUUCGAUUCCAAAACACAAGAAAAUUAAAAAAGAUUGAGCCAAAAUUCUCACAACUCCAGGCCGAGGACCGAAGUUCAAAAUCCUAGCCGAUUAAAGAGAAUUUCAACUCUUUUUAGGUCCUAAAAAUCUCCUUGUUCUUUAGCAAAAUUUCUUACUUGGGGUUCUUGCCUCAGAACAACCAUCCCCUCCACUAAUGAAUAGUGAGGAUAUUUAUAGGAACAAAUUGAAUGGAAUUGAGGAUGAAUUUUCGGUGUGGGAAAUGGAAAAUUUAGGGGUGUUUUUGAGAAUUUUGAUUGUGUAUUUCAAAUUGAAGAUAAAGUUUAAGCUGGUAAAAAUCAUACAGAGAGAUGGAGGUGAGUGGGAAAAGGGGAAAAGAAUCAAGGCUUUGGGUUGAUGUGGGGUUUUGUGGGUUGUUGUUGUACGCUUUGUUGAAGUUGAAAUUGUUGUUGAUGUUGGUUGUUGUUUUGUUAGGUGUUGAAUCGGGUUGCUGAAGUGUUUUAAUCGGGUAAGGGGAAGGGAAAAGGGAAUAUGGAUCGGGUCUGGGUCGGCUUGGGAGUUAGGUAUUGGGCUGGACUGGCUG